RNAcentral lists this ribosomal RNA (465 nucleotides) under uncultured bacterium. RNAcentral describes it as "bacterial SSU rRNA". It matches the Rfam family "Bacterial small subunit ribosomal RNA", at positions 338 to 795 of the family's 1533-position model. The record is from RNAcentral.
CCUACGGGUUGCAGCAGUGGGGAAUAUUGCACAAUGGGCGCAAGCCUGAUGCAGCCAUGCCGCGUGUAUGAAGAAGACCUUCGGGUUGUAAAGUACUUUCAGCGGGGAGGAAGAUGUUGUGGUUAAUAACCGCAGCAAUUGACGUUACCCGCAGAAGAAGCACCGGCUAACUCCGUGCCAGCAGCCGCGGUAAUACGGAGGGUGCAAGCGUUAAUCGGAAUUACUGGGCGUAAAGCGCACGCAGGCGGUUGAUUAAGUUAGAUGUGAAAUCCCCGGGCUUAACCUGGGAAUGGCAUCUAAGACUGGUCAGCUAGAGUCUUGUAGAGGGGGGUAGAAUUCCAUGUGUAGCGGUGAAAUGCGUAGAGAUGUGGAGGAAUACCGGUGGCGAAGGCGGCCCCCUGGACAAAGACUGACGCUCAGGUGCGAAAGCGUGGGGAGCAAACAGGAUUAGAUACCCCAGUAGUC